Molecule: transfer RNA, 61 nt
Filed under: Ixodes nipponensis
Lineage: Eukaryota; Metazoa; Arthropoda; Arachnida; Ixodida; Ixodidae
Also listed under: 1 other name
Description: tRNA-Thr
Source: RNAcentral
GUUAUAAUAAUUUAAAAAAAAUAAUGGUUUUGUAAACCAAAUUUGAUACAUUCUUAUAACU